This is a long non-coding RNA of Grus americana (Whooping crane), 3659 nucleotides long. RefSeq lists it as uncharacterized. Lineage: Eukaryota; Metazoa; Chordata; Aves; Gruiformes; Gruidae. The record is from RefSeq and is a predicted model, not a curated record. The transcript is spliced from 3 exons.
GCCCCAAAGCCUCUGUAAAAUAGCUUUUCAGUUCACACCAUCUCUAUGCAGGGUUCACUCCAUGGAUGCUGCAGUUGCUGGAGAAGUGUGGAGGUUGGCUAGUGCACUGAGAGCAAUGCAAGGUCAGAAAUUGAAAGGUUGCAGUAUCUGGUUCUCUCCUUGUGUUCUCAGGGCAGGCAGAUCUUAGCUGUUUCUUUCCCACUAUUCCCAUGCUUUUAAGCAGCAUUAGGCAUUUUCUUCCAGCUCCUGUACAGUUCCUGGAUUUCUACCUGCUUCUACCUAAUCAUUCCAAAAAGUAUUAAAAGCUGUCAUGUGGGUUUUCUUAGCUCUGUACGUAAGAGACAUGGCUACAUCCCAUUGUUCUUUCCCACAGGUUCUGUAACGUAUUCAUGCUCUUCUACUUAUUCUUCUACUAAAUUGGUAAUUUUAUUUUGACUUUCCUUCUAACUCUGCUUAAAGAUCAGAGCACAGACAGAAUGGUGCAGCAAACAAACAGUGCACACAGCUCAUUUGCCAAACAUGUCCCCUAAAUUAUUGCAAAGGAUUCUGAUUCUUCAGCUUCUUGGAAAAUGUUCCAGUCUGUGCAUUAACAUUGCUUGGGGAGCACUCAGCUGGGAGAACAAUGACAAAACAUGCCUCAUUUUAGCCAGGCUAAAACUGGCUACGAUCCAUUGUGCAUUCUUAAUAUUCAGCAUUUGUUCCAAAUAGUCCUUAAAACUUCUUGCAUAUGUCAACUGUAGGGCUGCUGAUUGCUCCUCCGUAUGAGCUGAGGGCAUCAAAAGAAAGUAGGCAUCUGUCCACAGUGCUCUGACAUUGGAAAACCCUUUGUGCUUCUGGGUAACAGUAACUUGCUUUCCCAUAAGUUGAAUCCAAACCAAGCAAGUCUAGUGUAUAUCAUGUAGUUUUCACAUGGGAAAUGUGUUUUUUUAAUUUCUCUGAAGAAACUUCAUCUUUAUUCUUACUUACCAUGCAAGCCUAUUUUUGGUGAAAAACAUGGGCAGUUUAGGGUGUGGUUCCAUUUAGUUUAGGAAUAGCUGCGCCUGGCUUCAAGUGAUAAGACCUCUGGAUUUGCUGCAUGUUUUUCCCUGCAGAUGGUAUAUUUUCUUUAAGAAAUAAGUAUAAGGGAAUUCAAGGUUAAAACCUCCUAUCUCUGGACCAGGGACAGUUUGAACAGGGACUGGAGAUUAUUUAUGGAGAUUUUUCACUUCAUCUGGAACUACUGAUGAUUUAGCACAUCUGGGAAACUAAGCUGUAAGUUUCCGCAGCCCAUUUGUUUUUUGGCCACCUUCCUGAGCCUGCUGAUUAGUGUCACUUUUGCAAGGCAGACAGCAAUCCUGCACUAACUGGACUGUGACUUCCACUUAUAUCAGUUGCUGAACUGACCUCUGGAAGUACAUGCAUGUGAAUUGAAUUCAAAACAAUGAAUCUGGGAUCUCUGCAAGCCCUACUACGAGUCCCUAAGCAUUACACUUAAAUUUUGUUUACUUCUGCAAUUUGGGCAGUUUUCAUGGACUCAGUGAAGUUCAGCUGUUAAAAAUAUUCAAGGGAGUAAGAAGAGGAGAGCCGCGAGGAGGGCCUCCUUCCAGAGGAGGGCCACGAAGCUGAUCAGAGGGCUGGAGCACCUCUCCUAUGAGGACAGGCUGAGAGAGUUGGGAUUGUUCAGCCUGGAGAAGAGAAGGCUCCGGGGAGAUCUAAUUGCGGCUUACCAGUACCUGAAGGGGCCUACAGGAAAGAUGGUGUAGUACAACAUCCCAAAGUACCGUGCCGUCUUCCGGGCUGACUGCAUAUUGCCAAUUGCUAAACAUUAGCAUUCCAGCAAAAAGACCAAAACUUCUCUGAAUGCCAUUAGAACUGGGUCACUAACAGAAGGUGUGUGACAGCUUAACAUGCAUAACAACUAAAGCCAUUUGCUCAGUCUCAUACAGAGCAGAAAUAUUGAGAGUGAAGAUUAUGUCUAUAGCAUGAGCAGAAUGACAAAUAACAAGCCUCAGCGAUAUACUUUUUUGGUGGCAUUAGUGAUGCAGUUCUGCCUUGGAAACAGUGAAAACAGGUGAUCAGCUGGGUUUUGUGCUGCACUGUUUUUGCUAAAAGUUCAAAUUUAAUAGGAAUUCAAAUGAUCAAGGUAAGUAUUUCAUUUUGUAGAGGAAAUUCCAUUCUUUAGCAGCAUCCUAAUAACAUCUACUAUUUAGCAUUUUCUAUUCUAUUUGGAAUAAAGAGGUUUUAACCUCACAGCUUCAAGCUGUAUAUUUCUAUUCCAGCUCCAGGAAUUAUUGCUGUAGCUGUGUGCUCAGUAGUCAUACAAAUGCUGCAGGUGGACUUACGUCAUUUCAGAAAACAUUAUGGAAUAAGCUGGACUAGACGCUGUGUUCUCCCUUAUCAAAAUCCCUUUAAACCAGCUAAAGAAGAAUGGAAGGGAACUCUUCCUGGACAGCAUGGUUCCAGCUACAUUCUGAAUCAGAAGGGCAUGCUGAGAUGUUCUUUAUAUGGAGAAAAUGGAAGGUGGGAGCCAGGGAGAAGAAGCAUCUGGAAAUGCAAAGAGAAACAGAAUUAACAGAGUAUUAGCUGAGUAUCACUGAGCUACACAGGUUCUCUGUGCUCCCCUGCUUUUGCUCUGUGUUAGUCAGUCUGGAUAACAUAAGAAUCAGCCCCUUUAUAAGCUUUUAUUAAUUACUCUUCUAUCUUUUCUGGAUGUGACAGAAUAUUUCUGGAGACAAACACCACGCUCUGCCUCAUUCAUCUGUAUCCCUUUUCCCUGCCAAGCCUGUCAUGAUUUGUUCACUUUUAUCUAAAGUUGGAAAAAAAAACCAGUUCAGAAAACUAGCUCAUACAGAAAAGAAAAAUCAGGUCACUCGGAUUGGUCUGCAGAUUCAGGUCAUAUUCAGUGACGAGUUUAAACGGAAAAAAAUGGAAGAAUCAGUAAAAUUAGGAGUAUUUUUCCUAUUCCUUCAACACGAAACCUCACAGUUCUUUUGUUUCAAAAGUGUUGGAAAGACAUCUUGAGUGCAAAAUACUAAACUGGGAUUAAACAGAGAAAGAAAUAAUCUAGAAGCAAACCGAACACAGUAUUUUCACUGGCAAAAUAUCCUAUUAACCCCCAAACAGCUUUUUGAUUCAGAGUGAUCAAAAAGAUUUUUAAAUUGUUUUGAGUAAAAUACCAAACCAGAAGGCAACUAUUUGCAAUUCUAUCUAGAACUAACAACAGGAGAUUUGUUUUUAAUAUGUUUCAAAGGCAGGUAGUGUAACUCAAAUUCUCAUUGACUUUUCUUCCCGUAUUCAGAAAUUCUUUUUUGGCACAUGAAGUGAACAGGUGUGAGCCAGUGCAAUGUGGCCCACAGGCCAUAACCAGCAAAUAACUAAUUGGCAUCUAUGUUGCAACAGGGCAAAGAUCCAGACAAAUUAUGACGAGGCACCGUGCCAUCCUAAUAGACUCACAUUAUCACGGAUGCCAAGGUUCCAUAAAUUUGCAUUAUUUACAUUUAGUUAGGGCAGGAUUCCCAGCUGGGAAAUUCCACAUGGUUGUCCAUCUCUAUCAUAGACAAUUACAAUGGAAAAAGAUCUCUGUGACUAAUCCAGCAUCCUGAAACAGUUUUCAGCAAGAAUUUAAAUAUUCUUAAUAAUGAUUUAAAAAAGUUACCACUCAUCUACAUCAAUAAAUUGUU